Molecule: ribosomal RNA, 483 nt
Filed under: uncultured bacterium
Lineage: Bacteria
Description: bacterial SSU rRNA
Rfam family: Bacterial small subunit ribosomal RNA
Source: RNAcentral
GACGAACGCUGGCGGCGUGCUUAACACAUGCAAGUCGAACGAGAAUCUACUGAAGGAGGAUUCGUCCAACGGAAGUAGAGGAAAGUGGCGGACGGGUGAGUAACGCGUGAGGAACCUGCCUUGAAGAGGGGGACAACAGUUGGAAACGACUGCUAAUACCGCAUGAAGCAUAGGGGUCGCAUGAUUCUUAUGCCAAAGAUUUAUCGCUUCAAGAUGGCCUCGCGUCUGAUUAGCUAGUUGGCGGGGUAACGGCCCACCAAGGCGACGAUCAGUAGCCGGACUGAGAGGGUCGAACGGCCACAUUGGAACUGAGACACGGCCCAGACUCCUACGGGAGGCAGCAGUGGGGGAUAUUGCACAAUGGGGGAAACCCUGAUGCAGCAACGCCGCGUGAAGGAAGAAGGUCUUCGGAUUGUAAACUUCUGUUUUUAGUGACGAAACAAAUGACGGUAGCUAAAGAGGAAGCCAACGGCUAACUACGUG